Molecule: non-coding RNA, 109 nt
Organism: Acanthosepion pharaonis
Lineage: Eukaryota; Metazoa; Mollusca; Cephalopoda; Sepiida; Sepiidae
Source: the annotation of a GenBank genome assembly
UAUGGCCAUAUCACGUUGAAACACCGGUUCCCGUACGAUCAUCAAAGUUAAGCCAUGUUUAGUCAGUAAUUAGAUGGGUGACCGCUUUGGGAAUACCAGGUGGUGUCAG